Molecule: ribosomal RNA, 502 nt
Filed under: uncultured Glomeromycotina
Lineage: Eukaryota; Fungi; Glomeromycota
Description: partial small subunit ribosomal RNA
Rfam family: Eukaryotic small subunit ribosomal RNA
Source: RNAcentral
CCAAUAGCGUAUAUUAAAGUUGUUGCAGUUAAAAAGCUCGUAGUUGAACUUCGGGGUCUACCCAUUGGUCAGGCUUAAUUGUCUGCACUGGUGAGAUGGAUCUCUACCUUCUGAGGAACUUUCAUGCCAUUUAUUUGGUGUGGUUGGAAAUCAGGACUGUUACUUUGAAAAAAUUAGAGUGUUUAAAGCAGACUAUCGUCUGAAUACAUUAGCAUGGAAUAAUGAAAUAGGACGGACUGAUUCUAUUUCGUUGGUUUCUAGGAUCACCGUAAUGAUUAAUAGGGAUAGUUGGGGGCAUUAGUAUUCAAUUGUCGGAGGUGAAAUUCUUGGAUUUAUUGAAGACUAACUACUGCGAAAGCAUUUGCCAAGGAUGUUUUCAUUAAUCAAGAACGAAAGUUAGGGGAUCGAAGACGAUCAGAUACCGUCGUAGUCUUAACCAUAAACUAUGCCGACUAGGGAUCGGACGAAGUUAAUUUUAUAAUGACGCGUUCGGCACCUUACG